RNAcentral lists this ribosomal RNA (492 nucleotides) under uncultured bacterium. Its description in RNAcentral is "partial 16S ribosomal RNA". It matches the Rfam family "Bacterial small subunit ribosomal RNA", at positions 29 to 507 of the family's 1533-position model. The record is from RNAcentral.
AGUGAACGCUGGCGGUAGGCCUAACACAUGCAAGUCGAACGGCAGCACAGUAAGAGCUUGCUCUUACGGGUGGCGAGUGGCGGACGGGUGAGGAAUACAUCGGAAUCUACUUUUUCGUGGGGGAUAAUGUAGGGAAACUUACGCUAAUACCGCAUACGACCUACGGGUGAAAGCAGGGGAUCUUCGGACCUUGCGCGAUUGAAUGAGCCGAUGUCGGAUUAGCUAGUUGGCGGGGUAAAGGCCCACCAAGGCGACGAUCCGUAGCUGGUCUGAGAGGAUGAUCAGCCACACUGGAACUGAGACACGGUCCAGACUCCUACGGGAGGCGGCAGUGGGGAAUAUUGGACAAUGGGCGCAAGCCUGAUCCAGCCAUACCGCGUGGGUGAAGAAGGCCUUCGGGUUGUAAAGCCCUUUUGUUGGGAAAGAAAGGCAGCAGGUUAAUACCCCGCUGUUCUGACGGUACCCAAAGAAUAAGCACCGGCUAACUUCGUG